UACGGAGGAUCCAAGCGUUAUCCGGAAUUACUGGGCGUAAAGAGUUGCGUAGGCGGUUAAGUAAGUUAGUAGUGAAAGCGUUCGGCUCAACCGGAUAUACAUUACUAAAACUACUUUGACUAGAGGAUGAGAGAGGUGGCUGGAAUUCCCUGUGUAGGAGUGAAAUCCGUAGAUAUAGGGAGGAACACCGAUGGCGUAGGCAGGCCACUGGCUCAUUUCUGACGCUAAGGCACGAAAGCGUGGGGAGCGACCGGG
This 255-nucleotide ribosomal RNA is filed under the name uncultured bacterium. RNAcentral's name for it is "partial 16S ribosomal RNA". It matches the Rfam family "Bacterial small subunit ribosomal RNA", at positions 524 to 776 of the family's 1533-position model. The record is from RNAcentral.